UACGUAGGGUGCGAGCGUUGUCCGGAAUUACUGGGCGUAAAGAGCUCGUAGGUGGUUUGUCGCGUUGUUCGUGAAAACUCACAGCUUAACUGUGGGCGUGCGGGCGAUACGGGCAGACUGGAGUACUGCAGGGGAGACUGGAAUUCCUGGUGUAGCGGUGGAAUGCGCAGAUAUCAGGAAGAACACCAACGGCGAAGGCAGCUCGCUGGGACGGAACUGACGCUGAGGCGCGAAAGCGUGGGGAGCGAACAGG
This 253-nucleotide ribosomal RNA is filed under the name uncultured bacterium. RNAcentral's name for it is "partial 16S ribosomal RNA". It matches the Rfam family "Bacterial small subunit ribosomal RNA", at positions 524 to 776 of the family's 1533-position model. The record is from RNAcentral.